Helianthus annuus (common sunflower) is the source of this 783-nucleotide RNA transcript. RefSeq lists it as uncharacterized. The transcript has 4 exons. The record is from RefSeq and is a predicted model, not a curated record. Lineage: Eukaryota; Viridiplantae; Streptophyta; Magnoliopsida; Asterales; Asteraceae.
UUUGCAAGGCUUUUCCACCAUCUUAUCUAAAUUCAUGUAGUAUAUAAAAGAUGUUAGGUGAGAAAAACUUGCAAAUAAAAUUACUACUUUAAGAUAUGAACGGUAAAAUGUAGAAAUGGGAGUAAGUGGAGGGGGUGGAAUGCAAAAUAAUUAUUGUAGGGUAAACCCGAUUAUAAAUUCUACUCUCUCUUGUUGUUCGUUUGUCAGACUACCACCGCAGCCGUCAGACAUGGCUACUGCUUUUUCGUGCAAGUUCAAAAAAAUCUGGCCUCCCGAUUUGGGUAAAUCAUCGGGUGUUGAAGAACGAUCGUUGACUGCUCAUCGGAUUUCGGAAGACCCAUCUCGUUUCAGGUCAUGAUGCACCUGUUAGUUCUAUAUGCCGCAUAGUAAAGAUAACAUUAAGCUAUCAAUGGAAAGAUCAAGGCAUGGUUACAUGUUGAUCGAGUUUCAAAAAUUGAUUAUGAAACCGAUGGUUAUGUCUGGACGAAAUGGCAUACAAUACUGAUGGGUCAUGUAACGCUUAGCGUUUCUGUAUAAUCCAUAUUUAGACGAAGUGGCAUACCAUACUGAUGGGUCAUGUAAUGCUUAGCAUUUCUGUAUAAUCCAUAUUUAGACGAAAUGGCAUACAAUACCGAUGGGUCAUGUAACGCUUAGCAUUUCUGUAUAAUCCAUAUUUAGAAAGUUGUAUUCUGAUUUAUAUUUAUAGAAACUUGUAUUCGUAUUUCAUUUCCAAUCUUGUAAUCUGAGACUUCGAUCAUAAUAAGAAAAUCGUAUUUAUAUCAA